UUAAGCRACUAAGCGUACACGGUGGAUGCCCUGGCAGUCAGAGGCGAUGAAGGACGUGCUAAUCUGCGAUAAGCGUCGGUAAGGUGAUAUGAACCGUUAUAACCGGCGAUUUCCGAAUGGGGAAACCCAGUGUGUUUCGACACACUAUCAUUAACUGAAUCCAUAGGUUAAUGAGGCGAACCGGGGGAACUGAAACAUCUAAGUACCCCGAGGAAAAGAAAUCAACCGAGAUUCCCCCAGUAGCGGCGAGCGAACGGGGAGSAGCCCAGAGYCUGAAUCAGUGUGUGUGUUAGUGGAAGCGUCUGGAAAGGCGCGCGAUACAGGGUGACAGCCCCGUACACAAAAAUGCACAUGCUGUGAGCUCGAUGAGUAGGGCGGGACACGUGGUAUCCUGUCUGAAUAUGGGGGGACCAUCCUCCAAGGCUAAAUACUCCUGACUGACCGAUAGUGAACCAGUACCGUGAGGGAAAGGCGAAAAGAACCCCGGCGAGGGGAGUGAAAAAGAACCUGAAACCGUGUACGUACAAGCAGUGGGAGCACGCUUAGGCGUGUGACUGCGUACCUUUUGUAUAAUGGGUCAGCGACUUAUAUUCUGUAGCAAGGUUAACCGAAUAGGGGAGCCGAAGGGAAACCGAGUCUUAACUGGGCGUUAAGUUGCAGGGUAUAGACCCGAAACCCGGUGAUCUAGCCAUGGGCAGGUUGAAGGUUGGGUAACACUAACUGGAGGACCGAACCGACUAAUGUUGAAAAAUUAGCGGAUGACUUGUGGCUGGGGGUGAAAGGCCAAUCAAACCGGGAGAUAGCUGGUUCUCCCCGAAAGCUAUUUAGGUAGCGCCUCGUGAAUUCAUCUCCGGGGGUAGAGCACUGUUUCGGCAAGGGGGUCAUCCCGACUUACCAACCCGAUGCAAACUGCGAAUACCGGAGAAUGUUAUCACGGGAGACACACGGCGGGUGCUAACGUCCGUCGUGAAGAGGGAAACAACCCAGACCGCCAGCUAAGGUCCCAAAGUCAUGGUUAAGUGGGAAACGAUGUGGGAAGGCCCAGACAGCCAGGAUGUUGGCUUAGAAGCAGCCAUCAUUUAAAGAAAGCGUAAUAGCUCACUGGUCGAGUCGGCCUGCGCGGAAGAUGUAACGGGGCUAAACCAUGCACCGAAGCUGCGGCAGCGACACUGUGUGUUGUUGGGUAGGGGAGCGUUCUGUAAGCCUGUGAAGGUGUACUGUGAGGUAUGCUGGAGGUAUCAGAAGUGCGAAUGCUGACAUAAGUAACGAUAAAGCGGGUGAAAAGCCCGCUCGCCGGAAGACCAAGGGUUCCUGUCCAACGUUAAUCGGGGCAGGGUGAGUCGACCCCUAAGGCGAGGCCGAAAGGCGUAGUCGAUGGGAAACAGGUUAAUAUUCCUGUACUUGGUGUUACUGCGAAGGGGGGACGGAGAAGGCUAUGUUGGCCGGGCGACGGUUGUCCCGGUUUAAGCGUGUAGGCUGGUUUUCCAGGCAAAUCCGGAAAAUCAAGGCUGAGGCGUGAUGACGAGGCACUACGGUGCUGAAGCAACAAAUGCCCUGCUUCCAGGAAAAGCCUCUAAGCAUCAGGUAACAUCAAAUCGUACCCCAAACCGACACAGGUGGUCAGGUAGAGAAUACCAAGGCGCUUGAGAGAACUCGGGUGAAGGAACUAGGCAAAAUGGUGCCGUAACUUCGGGAGAAGGCACGCUGAUAUGUAGGUGAAGUCCCUCGCGGAUGGAGCUGAAAUCAGUCGAAGAUACCAGCUGGCUGCAACUGUUUAUUAAAAACACAGCACUGUGCAAACACGAAAGUGGACGUAUACGGUGUGACGCCUGCCCGGUGCCGGAAGGUUAAUUGAUGGGGUUAGCCGCAAGGCGAAGCUCUUGAUCGAAGCCCCGGUAAACGGCGGCCGUAACUAUAACGGUCCUAAGGUAGCGAAAUUCCUUGUCGGGUAAGUUCCGACCUGCACGAAUGGCGUAAUGAUGGCCAGGCUGUCUCCACCCGAGACUCAGUGAAAUUGAACUCGCUGUGAAGAUGCAGUGUACCCGCGGCAAGACGGAAAGACCCCGUGAACCUUUACUAUAGCUUGACACUGAACAUUGAGCCUUGAUGUGUAGGAUAGGUGGGAGGCUUUGAAGUGUGGACGCCAGUCUGCAUGGAGCCGACCUUGAAAUACCACCCUUUAAUGUUUGAUGUUCUAACGUUGACCCGUAAUCCGGGUUGCGGACAGUGUCUGGUGGGUAGUUUGACUGGGGCGGUCUCCUCCUAAAGAGUAACGGAGGAGCACGAAGGUUGGCUAAUCCUGGUCGGACAUCAGGAGGUUAGUGCAAUGGCAUAAGCCAGCUUGACUGCGAGCGUGACGGCGCGAGCAGGUGCGAAAGCAGGUCAUAGUGAUCCGGUGGUUCUGAAUGGAAGGGCCAUCGCUCAACGGAUAAAAGGUACUCCGGGGAUAACAGGCUGAUACCGCCCAAGAGUUCAUAUCGACGGCGGUGUUUGGCACCUCGAUGUCGGCUCAUCACAUCCUGGGGCUGAAGUAGGUCCCAAGGGUAUGGCUGUUCGCCAUUUAAAGUGGUACGCGAGCUGGGUUUAGAACGUCGUGAGACAGUUCGGUCCCUAUCUGCCGUGGGCGCUGGAGAACUGAGGGGGGCUGCUCCUAGUACGAGAGGACCGGAGUGGACGCAUCACUGGUGUUCGGGUUGUCAUGCCAAUGGCACUGCCCGGUAGCUAAAUGCGGAAGAGAUAAGUGCUGAAAGCAUCUAAGCACGAAACUUGCCCCGAGAUGAGUUCUCCCUGACCGU
RNAcentral lists this ribosomal RNA (2795 nucleotides) under Escherichia coli. RNAcentral describes it as "bacterial LSU rRNA". The record is from RNAcentral. Lineage: Bacteria; Pseudomonadati; Pseudomonadota; Gammaproteobacteria; Enterobacterales; Enterobacteriaceae.